Molecule: ribosomal RNA, 301 nt
Filed under: uncultured bacterium
Lineage: Bacteria
Description: partial 16S ribosomal RNA
Rfam family: Bacterial small subunit ribosomal RNA
Source: RNAcentral
CAGCCGCCGCGGGAAUACGUAGGGUGCAAGCGUUAAUCGGAAUUACUGGGCGUAAAGCGUGCGCAGGCGGUUUGUUAAGACAGAUGUGAAAUCCCCGGGCUCAACCUGGGAACUGCAUUUGUGACUGGCAAGCUAGAGUGUGGCAGAGGGGGGUGGAAUUCCGCGUGUAGCAGUGAAAUGCGUAGAUAUGCGGAGGAACACCGAUGGCGAAGGCAGCCCCCUGGGCCAACACUGACGCUCAUGCACGAAAGCGUGGGGAGCAAACAGAAUUAGAUACCCCGGUAGUCCCUGUCUCUUAUAC